UUCAGAUUCAGACCUCCACUAAGGCCCCAUUUGUUUGCACUUAAUGGGGGUCUGAAUCUGAAUGGUUAAGAUUUCAGCCCAUUAAGUGCAUUAGUUUUUCUUUUUUUUUUAUAAAAAAAGUAGUCUCUUAAUACUUUUGGAAACAUCUGACUCGGUCAGAUUUAAAAAAGAAUCUUAAUGGGAUUCAGACUCUUAAAAAUGCCUAAUUUAUUUGCUUAAAAAGCUCACACGUAUGUUUUUUUCUCUCUCUUUAUAAUUUACGCUUCUCUCUCUCUCUCUCUCUCUCUCUCUCUCUCUCUCUCUCUCUCUUUAUAAUUUAUCCUUCUCUCUUUAUCCACAAGUAUUAAUGAGGCUCUAUCUCACUCUUUAUCAGUAAGCUAUUCAUCAAAUUCUUUCUUCUCGAACAGGAAGGAGCGCAUCAAUGAUGACUUGUUUAAUCAUAUUUUGAUACGCCUCGAGUGAUAUUUGAUGAAGAAGGACAACAAGAAGAAGCAUUCAAAUGGACCUAGUUGGACAGUUGAAGAUUCUCGGAUAAUGACCGAUAUGCGGGAGCAACUUGCACUCCGACUAAUGCAAAGAAGAUGAAAUACUUGAGAGUUCUAUACCUUAGUUAUUUGAUUUUUUUUCCAGUGUUGGAGUGUUACAAUUUGAUGAUUGUUAGUUAAUUAUUCAAAUACUCGAAUAUUUAUGUGUCUAAAUCAGAACUGUAUUUGAGGUAUUGUUUUACUUUGUUGGAUAAGUUUGAUUUAUA
Molecule: long non-coding RNA, 751 nt
Organism: Lycium barbarum (goji berry)
Lineage: Eukaryota; Viridiplantae; Streptophyta; Magnoliopsida; Solanales; Solanaceae
Exons: 2
Source: RefSeq, a predicted model, not a curated record